Myxocyprinus asiaticus (Chinese sucker) is the source of this 1669-nucleotide long non-coding RNA. RefSeq lists it as uncharacterized. Lineage: Eukaryota; Metazoa; Chordata; Actinopteri; Cypriniformes; Catostomidae. The record is from RefSeq and is a predicted model, not a curated record. The transcript is spliced from 3 exons.
CUAGUCAUAGUUUGCCCCAUCAAAAGGAUUUUAAUUUGAUUUGGUUUGUUUUCUUAUACAUGCUUCAUUACACAGAGAGUCAUUUUAUCCUGUAUGUGUGUGUUCGUAGCACAGGGUCAUGCCUCAGAAUACACAGUGACCUUCCUGGAGGACUCUUUGAAUCAUUUAAAACACUCCGGGGACCAAACGAAAACGUCCGACAGCCUCUGAACACAAUUUCCUGCUGAUGGUUGAAGCUGAUGAUACCUGCUUCACUGCACAACUCAUACCAGUGGGACUGAAGAGCAGCACUACUGCUAAACAUUUACUGGCCAGAGCUCAGAUUAAUCGGCACUGAUUACAGAUUUCUGGAACUAUCGGUUAUCUGCAAAAACCCACAACAAUAGUUUUUCCCCGUUGCGUCCGGUGCUGGAGAAGCUGGGAAGGGUCCACCCUCUAGUGGCGAAAUAAAAUCUACCACUUCACUGAUGCCUUGUGGUGUUUGUUUUGACAUGGGAGACUACACUCUGCAUGGAGCAGACCACUUCAUCAACGUCGAAAAUCCCCUCGCCUGGACUCAUAGUCUGAGCCGCUUCACCACCGAGUACAGCCGAAUACUACUGCUAUCUGUGAAUAUCGCUACUCUACAUACAACUGUACUGAAUAAAAAACAAUGUGGUAUUUCACUGUUAUUAUGAAGCUCGAGUCUGGAGAAGUAGGAAUCAAUGCAAGUGUAACACCAUGUGAACUGUCUAUUGAAGCGUUUUCCCCCUCAUUUUACUUGAGAAUAUGGACCAACUAAAACUUUAUUUAUUUGAUGCACAUCAGUUGAAAAUGAAAUGCUCUUUUUUUUUUUUUUUUUUUUUUUUUUUAACAGCCAGGAUAGGAAUGUUCUAUGCAAUAAUCUAAUAGUGCUGAAUGGUUUAUGUAUUUAUUGUGUCCUCUAGUGGACCAAGGAAACAACGUAAAUGUAAAAAUCAGCUGACUUUAAAAUUUGAAUAUCAGUUCAUUUGUAUUAAUAUUUAUAUAAUUGUUUCAUUUAAAAAGUACAAUACAUUUUCAUGGUUCAGUCAUUACUGUUUAUUUUUGUAAUAAAGUUCAGCACUAUUUUACUUUGAGUGUUAUUUUUUCAUUCAGUAUCAAUUUUAAAAACUAUCGGUAGAUUAAUCAUUAUUGGCAGGUACUGCCCAACUUAGUUAUCGGUAAAAUCCACUAUCAGUCAACCUCUAAUAAUUAUAUAAUAAAAAUAAGAAUUUGAAGUGCUACUGCAUCAAAAAUGCUAUGUAAAAAAAAAAAGAAAAAAAAAAAAGAAUUACCAAACCCUUGCAUAGGUUUGUUAAAGAUUUGUAUGUGAAAUUCUUUCAUAUUUACAGUGUUUUCUGAAGUUAAUAUAUUUAAUAAUGUAUGAUUGUACCUUUAAAUAUUCAUGUAUUUACACAUUUAUUACUCUUACUACAUUACAUUUUGUUGAAUGUUUUUAUAUGCACGUGUGCGAUUUACAUUGAGUUUACAUUGAUAUGUAUAACAAGCACUAAAUUGGUACUGUCUCUUUAAGAGAAGUGUUUACAGUUGAAUAAGCACAGCACACAUUAAUAAGAGAUAAGUUUCAUGCUUGUUUUUCCCCUCAUCUGUGCAAUCUAUGAUUAGAAAUAAUGUUUCUUUUUAUCUUUUUGAUCACCAACUGACUGUA